Molecule: small nuclear RNA, 80 nt
Filed under: Heterocephalus glaber (naked mole-rat)
Lineage: Eukaryota; Metazoa; Chordata; Mammalia; Rodentia; Bathyergidae
Description: U4 spliceosomal RNA
Rfam family: U4 spliceosomal RNA
About the family: U4 small nuclear RNA (U4 snRNA) is a component of the major U2-dependent spliceosome. The structure of U4 snRNA from yeast and human has been reported. U4 snRNA presents a k-turn RNA motif in the 5p-SL related to recognition of Snu13 protein.
Source: Rfam by way of RNAcentral
AGCUUUGUGCAGUGGCAGUAUCAUAGCCAAUGAGGUUUAUCCGAGGCGUGAUUAUUGCUAAUUGAAAAAGAUUUUGCACA